This 405-nucleotide ribosomal RNA is filed under the name uncultured bacterium. RNAcentral describes it as "partial 16S ribosomal RNA". It matches the Rfam family "Bacterial small subunit ribosomal RNA", at positions 30 to 526 of the family's 1533-position model. The record is from RNAcentral.
AUUGAACGCUGGCGGCAGGCUUAACACAUGCAAGUCGAACGAGUGGCGGACGGGUGAGUAAUGCUUGGGAAUCUAGCUUAUGGAGGGGGCUAACUACGGGAAACUGUAGCUAAUACCGCGUACCAUAGGAUGAGCCCAGGUGGGAUUCGGUAGUUGGUGGGGUAAAGGCUCACCAAGCCGACGAUCGCUAGCUGGUCUGAGAGGAUGACCAGCCAAACUGGAACUGAGACACGGCCCAGACGCCUACGGGAGGCAGCAGGGGGGAAUAUUGCGCAAUGGGGGCAACCUGACGCAGCCAUGCCGCGUGAAUGAAGAAGGCCUUCGGGUUGUAAAGUUCUUUCAGUAGGGAGGCGUUAACUACAGAAGAAGCACCGGCUAACUCCGUGCCAGCAGCCGCGGUAAUUC